GUACAAAAUUGAAGAAGAGCAGAAUCUCACACUAGACGAUGAAUUUGAAACUGUUUGCUUGCCUUAUUCAAUGAAUUCGAAAUUGUUUGUUUGCCUUAUUCAAUGAAAUGGAAAUGGAUGAAUUGAACCCUUCUACCAUCGGUACUUCCGUCGUCAUCACCUUUUUCCUACCUUAUACGUCGUCGUUUUCACCCCCUUUCUUCCUCCUACGACCAUGAUUAUACCCUUUAAACCUCUCUUUGGAUCUCAACCGCAGAUCAUCUCCUUCUUCUUCAAUCCUUAUGGACCCUUCUACCUCUCGCCCUGCUGUAGUCAUUGACAAUGGAACCGGGUAUACAAAAAUUGGUUUUGCUGGAAAUGUGGAGCCAUGUUUCAUACUACCUACAGUUGUUGCAGCUAACGAAUCAUUUGUUAAUCAGCCUCGAGCUUUGACUAAGAACAGCAACUGGUUCGCCCAGCACAGUGCAGGGGUUAUGGCGGAUCUUGAUUUCUUUAUUGGGGAUGAGGCUUUGACCAGAUCUAAAUCUAGUAGCAAUUACAAUCUUACCUAUCCUAUUGAACAUGGACAAGUUGAUAACUGGGAUUCAAUGGAGCGGUUCUGGCAGCAGUGUAUAUUCAAUUACCUGCGUUGUGACCCUGAGGAUCACUAUUUUCUAUUGACUGAAAGCCCUAUGACUGCACCAGAGAACCGAGAAUAUACUGGUGAAAUUAUGUUUGAGACUUUCAAUGUUCCGGGACUUUAUAUAGCUGUGCAGCCGGUUCUUGCUUUGGCAGCUGGGUACACAGCAUCCAAGUGUGAGAUGACUGGAGUCGUAGUGGAUAUUGGAGAUGGUGCUACCCAUGUUGUACCUGUUGCUGAGGGUUAUGUUAUUGGGAGCAGCAUUAAGUCAAUUCCCGUUUCUGGGAAAGAUGUUACUCUCUUUGUUCAACAGCUUAUGAAGGAAAGGGGAGAACAUGUUCCAGCAGAAGAUUCCUUUGAAAUAGCACGAAAAGUGAAGGAAAUGCAUUGCUACACUUGUUCUGACAUUGUGAAGGAGUUCAAUAAGCAUGAUAAAGAGCCAGGGAAGUACAUCAAGCACUGGAGAGGUACAAAACCAAAGACAGGAGCACCUUAUUCAUGUGAUGUUGGCUAUGAGCGAUUUCUUGGUCCUGAGGUCUUCUUCAGUCCUGAGAUUUAUAAUAGUGAUUUUACGAACCCUUUACCUGAGGUGAUUGACAAAUGUAUUCAGUCUGCACCAAUAGACACAAGAAGAGCUUUAUAUAAGUUCAGAAUAUUGUUUUAUCUGGAGGGUCAACCAUGUUCAAAGAUUUCCAUAGAAGAUUGCAGCGAGAUCUCAAAAAGAUAGUGGAUGACCGCAUUCUUGCAUCAGAUGCUCGGUUAGGUGGAAAUGUCAAAGCACAACCAGUUGAAGUGAAUGUGGUCAGCAAUCCUAUCCAGAGAUAUGCAGUUUGGUUUGGAGGUUCUGUACUGGCUUCAACUCCUGAAUUUUUUGCGGCUUGCCAUACAAAGGCAGAAUACGAGGAAUAUGGAGCUAGCAUAUGCCGGACAAAUCCCGUAUUCAAGGGAAUGUAUUGAUAUUGAACCGAUUCAAACUGAUGAUUGCAAAGGCAUUUAUUGUCAAGAUGUGCUCAUCCUAACAACCCAAUCCAUCCGUCCUUGGUGUCAGCUUCAAGCUGAAAUCCUACAUCCGCAGGUGCCUUCAGUUAUGUCAACCGAUCGGAGGCAGUGUAGGAUGAACCUGUAACGAAUGGGGUUCUUGUACUUUUCUCCAUUAGCAGCGCAUGAAUUUUGGCCUUGCGGGAAAAGUAGGCUUUCAUCGUCAGGACUGGUUGGCACUUCCAUUUUUCAGAUGGCUGAUCAGUUAAAUGACAUUUACUGAGCUGAAUGUUAUUUUCUGUGUGUUCAGUUCAGUCUAGGGAUUUAUCAGUUUAUUUUAGUAAGAGGGCAGGAUAAUAAGCUUCAAACAAAUUCAGGUAGGUUUUCUUUUAAUUGUUAUUGAAUGACCGAUGAGAUGACUAUUAGUGCUCUAUGUCAAAGAUUCAUGUAGAAACUUGUUUUCUCUGUAGACACAUUCUGAACAUUGAAGCUAUACCUGUAUAUUUGGUUCACCACUGAACCUUCAUUCUUUUUCUAGGAAUAGUAUUGUCAUUUGUCUCCAAGUUAUUUCGUCUGGUGCAAUUUAAUCUGCAUUUGCGCUUU
RNA transcript from Solanum verrucosum, 2200 nucleotides. It is a transcript of the gene named actin-related protein 3-like, with no coding region annotated. The record is from RefSeq and is a predicted model, not a curated record. The transcript has 9 exons. NCBI's taxonomy places the organism in Eukaryota, Viridiplantae, Streptophyta, Magnoliopsida, Solanales, Solanaceae.